This is a long non-coding RNA of Mastomys coucha (southern multimammate mouse), 486 nucleotides long. RefSeq lists it as uncharacterized. NCBI's taxonomy places the organism in Eukaryota, Metazoa, Chordata, Mammalia, Rodentia, Muridae. The record is from RefSeq and is a predicted model, not a curated record. The transcript has 2 exons.
CAGAGUGAGAGCCUGUCUCCUGGAAGAAGAUUCUCACUGUCCUAAAAAUAGAGCACAUUGCAGGAGAGAUGUUGCUGAGACCACAGAGAUGGGCAAGGUCACACUUCGAACAAGUCUGCUUAGAUCAUAUUUAUCCAGCAUCAGAAAAGCUUCCUGCUGCAGCAGAUGGGAACAAAUCCAGAGACCCAUAGCCAGACAUUACACAGAACGUGAGACCUUGGAACACUCAGCUCUAAAUGGGACAUCUCCAUCAAAUCCCUCCCCUCCUAGCUCCAGUUACCCCAUGAAAGAGAAUGAAGAAAGAGUGGAAGAGUCUGGAGAGAUGGAGGACACCAGGAGGACACCAGGAGGACAAGACCAUCUGAAUCAACUGAGCAAAGCUCAUAUGAAUUCAGAUCCUGCAGCAGCAAGCACAGGGCCUGCACAGCUCCGCACCAGGUCCUCUGUGUUAUCUAUUACAGCUUUCAGUUUAGCAUUUUUAUCAGA